AACGUAGGACGCGAGCGUUAUCCGGAGUUACUGGGCGUAAAGCGCGGGCAGGCGGUCUGACAAGUCUGAUGUGAAAUCUCCGGGCUUAACCGGGAGAGGCCAUUGGAAACUGACAGGCUGGAGGGCAGUAGAGGUAGGCGGAAUUCCGGGUGGAGUGGUGAAAUGCGUAGAGAUCCGGAGGAACACCAGAGGCGAAGGCGGCCUACUGGGCUGCAACUGACGCUGAGCCGCGAAAGCCAGGGGAGCGAACGGG
Molecule: ribosomal RNA, 253 nt
Filed under: uncultured bacterium
Lineage: Bacteria
Description: partial 16S ribosomal RNA
Rfam family: Bacterial small subunit ribosomal RNA
Source: RNAcentral